CUUCUGUGUUGUUCAGGUAUGUAUGAGGCGGGUUACCAACCCGCCGGGGGCCUUGUCGGGCCCGUGGAUCAGCAUCCUUGACGGACGC
This 88-nucleotide transfer RNA is filed under the name [Propionibacterium] namnetense SK182B-JCVI. RNAcentral describes it as "tRNA-Gly". Lineage: Bacteria; Bacillati; Actinomycetota; Actinomycetes; Propionibacteriales; Propionibacteriaceae. The record is from RNAcentral.